UGACCCGGCCGUCCCACCCCUUCACUCGGCCGGCGGGGUCGGGGAGCUGCGGAAGCUGCCGGACGGCGGGUUCCAGUCCCAGAUCUCCAGAUCGCCGUCCUUGGCGGGCCGCUCGACGUCCUCGCCCUCAUCGCCCCGGACGAUCCGCUCCUCUUCGGUCAGCGGCGGUUCGGCGGGCACCGGAUCGGUCGCCUGCUCGGCGAUCGUGCGGACCUGCGCGGGCAGCAGCACCGGCGCGGGCUCGGGGGCUUCUACCUCCGCGUCCGACUCGGGCAGCGGCGGCGCCUUCUCCUCGCGCCGCGCGACCUCCAGCUCGUCCGCCCGCGUCUCGCGCCGCACGACGUCGGGCUCGUCCUCGACUACCUGCGCGUCCGCACGCGUGUCGCGUCGCGUGACUUCCGGCUCGUCCUCGGCCGCGCGCAUGUCGCGCUGCGUGGCGUCGGGCUCGUCCCCGGCCGCACGUGUGUCGCGCCGCGUCGCGUCGGG
Molecule: non-coding RNA, 486 nt
Filed under: Actinomadura rubteroloni
Lineage: Bacteria; Bacillati; Actinomycetota; Actinomycetes; Streptosporangiales; Thermomonosporaceae
Source: RNAcentral